RNAcentral lists this ribosomal RNA (253 nucleotides) under uncultured bacterium. Its description in RNAcentral is "partial 16S ribosomal RNA". It matches the Rfam family "Bacterial small subunit ribosomal RNA", at positions 524 to 776 of the family's 1533-position model. The record is from RNAcentral.
UACGUAGGGUGCGAGCGUUGUCCGGAAUUAUUGGGCGUAAAGGGCUCGUAGGCGGUUUGUCGCGUCGGGAGUGAAAUCCACUGGCUUAACUGGUGGCUUGCUUUCGAUACGGGCAGACUGGAGGUAUGCAGGGGAGAACGGAAUUCCUGGUGUAGCGGUGAAAUGCGCGGAUAUCAGGAGGAACACCGGUGGCGAAGGCGGGUCUCUGGGCCGAUACUGACGCUGAGGAGCGAAAGCGUGGGGAGCGAACAGG